Molecule: long non-coding RNA, 2376 nt
Filed under: Olea europaea (common olive)
Lineage: Eukaryota; Viridiplantae; Streptophyta; Magnoliopsida; Lamiales; Oleaceae
Description: long non-coding RNA (OEUR_LNC015513)
Source: RNAcentral
UCAAAGGUUGAUAAUUGAACUUAGGUAAAAGAUUCAAAUCCUUUAAUUUUGAUAUAACAUACACGUGAACAUCUAAACGAUCUUGGCUAUUGAAUUAAAGAAAUUUUUAAUUUCUGGAUAAUUCCGAUUCCGCAUUCCAACACCAUCUUGCUAUAAUGGUGUUACCUCCUUUUUUGCUGUUGUUAUGAUAAUCAAAUUUAAACAUUGAUAUCAAUGGUUCUCCUUCAUCUGACAGCUAGAAGUCUAUUGUUUUGAGGUCAUAGCCAACUUCGGGCCAUUCUUCGUGCAAAUAGCAUAUUCCUGCUGGUUGUAAAAUAGUGUUCCUAACAAGUAAAGAUAAUUAAACACCAAGUUAGAUAUCAAUACUAUAAGCCAGAAAUUGAAUUAACUAUAUUGAAAUCGCAAGAAAAAUAAUUUCCUAACAAAUCCAUGUUCCAAGAUGCGUAGUGGAUGAUCGAGGCUCAGAUUAACCAAUUGAAAGCAACAAGGUAGCACCACACUCAAUUGGAUCCAAGAAUCUCACAAGAACUGUCAAAAGGAUCGACCAAAUCAAGCUACAAAUGAACGGACAUAAAACUGGUGCGAGGGAGAAGGUCGAAAACGGAGCAGAGUGGAGCCACAACAGAGAGCCACCGGUAUAGCACAACAGCCGAUGACCCCGAAAAGGAGGUCAAGAAAGGGCAGCCAAAGCCGGAGCACGGAGCAAAUGCUAAAAGACAAGGUAGCUAAAAGUCAGAGACAAAAGCAAAGAAGGCAGCGCAAGUAUUAUGUGCGACCGCAAUGAGGGGAGUCCACUCAUAUAAAUGGGUUCCUAGCUCAAAACUGAAUGGACCAAACAUAAUAGGUGAGUCAACCUUGCAACAAGUGAGUUCUUGGUCCGUCUUGGUUCUGGGUUAAUUGCUAUAAAUGCUUCAAUAAUUGGCACAAGGCUUAUGAACUUGGUCCGACUAGGUUUAUCAUCAUAGCCUUGGGUUUAUUUGAUAUCAAUUAUCCAACAAAUCUUCACCACGAUUUAUAAUAUUUUGAACCAAUUUAUUGAAAAUGUCAAGAUUGUCGUUUAACUCCUUUGAGGGAUUAAUUUGAAACUGGAAAAACUUUCAAGUAAAAAAAAGUUUGCUGGGUUUGGAUUGAGUUAAAUAAAGCUCCUCAAGUAUUUUCCAAACUGUUUCAGCAGUUUCAUGUUUGCUAACUUUUCAGAAAAUAUUAUCAAAUAAGUGUAGCAUAAUAGAGGAAUAAGCAACUUCGUCAAUUCCUUUUUAUGAUCUUCAAUCAUAGUUGUAGCAUAAGCUACAUCAAUUACUUUUGAAAUUUUUUGUUAUACUAAAAUUUUUUAUAUCUUUUGUUACCAAAUAGAAAAAUCACUUUUAUCGUUAAGGAUAUCCAAGUCAAAAUAGUGCACAGACCUCUGAAUAGAUAAUACACGUAGCAUGAAAACAACGAACAAAGAGACAGCCACACAGAGAAUGUUCUAAGGGUCACAAUUAUACACUGAUCUCAAUUCCCAUGAUUUUCAUGAGAUUCGAACCUGGGUCUCAAAGGAAUUGUUGAGCAAGGUCAAAGGUUAAAAUUCUAAUACCAAUAACUUAGCACCAAUAUGAAAAAUCAAACAAUGAUCAAAUAGACACAAUAAACAAUAAUAUCACGAUUUAGGCGAAUAAUCCUAAAUACUAGCAGCAACAAGAUACAAUCAUCUUGGUCACCCUACAUGAUGACCUGCCACUACAGUAAUGUAAAACUUUUUAGCCAAUUUAUCAAAGCGGACCUACUUGUAGUCCAUAACUGGGAGAGAUGCAAAUUUUUAUUUUAAAGAUUCAAGUUUCUAGCAAAAUCAUCCGUAGAAAAUCAACACAACACCGCGCUUCACGAUCAUAGCAAUUUCAAAAUUCAAUUUCAAGCAAUAAAGGAAGUCGAGAAUUGACCAACGGCCAAGUCACGACGAUCCAAAUGCUUUGAUACCGAUUUAUCAUAAAAUAGUGUUCCUAACGAGUAAAGAUAAUUAAGCACAAAGUUAGAUAUAAAUACUACAAAUACUAUAAGCUAGAAAUUUAAUUAACUAUAUUGAAAUUGAAAGAACAGCACUUCCCUUUUAAAUACACGUCCAAGAUGCAUAGUGGAUUAUUGAGGCUUAGAUUAACUAACACAAAGCAACACAACCAAUCAAGCCACAAAGGAACAUACCGAAAGGGACAAGGCCGAAAAUAGAUUAGAGAGGAGCCACAAUAGAGAGCCAUCGUUAUAGCACAACAGUUGACAAUCAACACGAAAAAGGAAGUCCAGAAAGGGCAUUCAAAGCCGAAGCAUAAGGCAAAGACGAAAGGGAGAUGCAGUCGCAAGUCAAAGAUAAAAGCAGAGAAGGCAACCAUAAGUAUUGUGUAA